RNAcentral lists this ribosomal RNA (253 nucleotides) under uncultured bacterium. RNAcentral's name for it is "partial 16S ribosomal RNA". It matches the Rfam family "Bacterial small subunit ribosomal RNA", at positions 524 to 776 of the family's 1533-position model. The record is from RNAcentral.
UACGUAGGGGGCGAGCGUUGUCCGGAUUUAUUGGGCGUAAAGAGCGUGUAGGCGGCCAAACAGGUCCGUUGUGAAAACUGGAGGCUCAACCUCCAGACGUCGACGGAAACCGUGUGGCUAGAGUCCGGAAGAGGAGAGUGGAAUUCCUGGUGUAGCGGUGAAAUGCGCAGAUAUCAGGAGGAACACCGGUGGCGAAGGCGGAUCUCUGGGCCUUGCCUGACGCUGAGGCGCGAAAGCUAGGGGAGCGAACAGG